UUUAAUUGUAAAAAUAUUCAUUUAAGUAGUAUUAGUUAUGGUCUUGAAAUUUAAAGAUUUUGGCGGUAUUUUAGUCUAUUCAGAGGAACCUGUCCUGUAAUUGAUAGUCCACGAUAAAUUAUACUUAAUAUAUUAAUUUGUAUAUCGUCGUUAUUAAGUAUUUUAAAAGAAUAUAAAUGUUUAAGUUUUUAAAUUAGAAAAUAUAUCAGAUCAAGGUGCAGUUUAUUAUUAAGAAGAGAUGGGUUACAAUAAAUUUAUUUAUAUGGAUUUAUAUAUAAAAAUUUAUAAAAAAAGUGGAUUUGAUAGUAAUAAUAUUCAAAUAAAUUUUAUGAUUUUAGCUCUAAAAUGUGU
This 351-nucleotide ribosomal RNA is filed under the name Oreodytes congruus. RNAcentral's name for it is "partial 12S ribosomal RNA". The record is from RNAcentral. Lineage: Eukaryota; Metazoa; Arthropoda; Insecta; Coleoptera; Dytiscidae.